AUCACUACAACCUUCAAGCGCGCCACCGCACCGAGGAAGAACACACACACAGCAGCAAUGGGAGCUAGUGGUUCAAUCAACGUCAACAGCGAUGCGCAAGGUUGUAAUAUAGCCAACGCAACAGGCGGCAAAGUGCGUCUCUACCAUAGGUCAGAGAAGAUGGCUCUCUGUGACCUCAUCGAGGGG
Salvelinus fontinalis (brook trout) is the source of this 186-nucleotide long non-coding RNA. RefSeq lists it as uncharacterized. The record is from RefSeq and is a predicted model, not a curated record. The transcript is spliced from 3 exons. Lineage: Eukaryota; Metazoa; Chordata; Actinopteri; Salmoniformes; Salmonidae.